CCUACGGGUGGCAGCAGUGAGGAAUAUUGGUCAAUGGCCGUAAGGCUGAACCAGCCAUGCCGCGUGAAGGAAGAAGGAUCUAUGGUUUGUAAACUUCUUUUAUAGGGGAAUAAAGGUAUCCACGUGUGGAUAUUUGCAUGUACCCUAUGAAUAAGCAUCGGCUAACUCCGUGCCAGCAGCCGCGGUAAUACGGAGGAUGCGAGCGUUAUCCGGAUUUAUUGGGUUUAAAGGGUGCGUAGGUUGUUUUUUAAGUCAGAGGUGAAAGUUUGUGGCUCAACCAUAGAAUUGCCGUUGAUACUGGAAGGCUAGAGUGUGGUUGAGGUAGGCGGAAUGCGUGGUGUAGCGGUGAAAUGCAUAGAUAUCACGCAGAACUCCGAUUGCGAAGGCAGCUUACUAAGCCAUAACUGACACUGAAGCACGAAAGCGUGGGGAGCAAACAGGAUUAGAUACCCUGGUAGUC
RNAcentral lists this ribosomal RNA (460 nucleotides) under uncultured bacterium. Its description in RNAcentral is "partial 16S ribosomal RNA". It matches the Rfam family "Bacterial small subunit ribosomal RNA", at positions 338 to 795 of the family's 1533-position model. The record is from RNAcentral.